Non-coding RNA from Picea glauca (white spruce), 1871 nucleotides. Lineage: Eukaryota; Viridiplantae; Streptophyta; Pinopsida; Pinales; Pinaceae. The record is from Rfam.
CGACCCCAACUCAAGUGAGAACAACCACUGAGUUUAAGCAUACAAUUAAGAGGAGGAAAAGAAACUUACAAGGAUUCCCCUAGUAUCGGCGAGCGAACCAAGAAGAGACCAGCAUGAAAAUUGGGUGGCAGUUUCACCUGAAUUGUAGUCUGUAGAAGCGUCCUUAGUGGCAGACUGGGCCCAAGUCCCCUAGAAGGGGGUGCCUGAGAUGGUGACAACCCCGUCGGGCUGAGAACCUGCCGCACCACAAGGUGUUGUCAAUGAGUCAGGUUGUUUGGGAAUGCAUCCCUAAUCGGGUGGUAAAUUUCAUCCAAGGCUAAAUACGGGUGAGAUACCGAUAGCGAACAAGUACCGCGAGGGAAAGAUGAAAAGGACUUUGAAAAGAGAGUUAAAGAGUGCUUGAAAUUUCUAGGAGGGAAGUGGAUGGAGGUCGACGAUGCGUCUCGGUCGGAUGAGAAAUGACUCAAGCUGGUCCGUCACUCGACUCGAGGUGCAAACUAUCAUAGGUCGUUGCAUCGACACAAGCAUGGGUGGAGUACUGCCUGUUGGUUUGCCGUUGUGGCGGUUGAGGAGCGGAGAAAUCAAGGGAUUACACCAACACUCAUUUAAAUUUAUUUUUAAUUGUUUGCCAAUAAUUCUUUUAGUUUGUUGAUAUUGAGCUCACACAUGAGGUAGUUUAUAUCUAUGAGGAUUUAGGAUCAAUUUUUCAAGCCUGAAUUUGAUGUGUAAAUAUUUUUGAAGGUAUUGGAUCCCUUAAUGACUCCUUAGUACUGUUGAAGAGUUGAAGAAGUUUUAAAUCACCAAGCAACCAUGUAGGAAACUCAAUGUUGCAUAGAAUAAGAGUUUAAUUUUUUUUAUGAGUUUAAAAGUUAGUAAUUGAACCUUCAUCAUUGAAGUAAGAAAAUAAAGGUGUCAAUUUUUUUGUAUAUUUGGAUAAUUUAGCCAAGAAAAGGAAACUUUCUAGGUUGGGAGGCCAAUGAGUCUCCAAACCUAGUGACUAAACCUUUUUGAGCCUUAAGGUAUACAAUUUACCCCCAAAAAGAAAAAUCACUUAUUUAGUGAGGUUACUCAUUGUCCAAACCAACCGAUUGAGGUUAUUGACCCUUUCACUCAACAAAUUUCCUCCUUGGUGUAAAUCACUCACUUGUCCUUAUUUGUCCUUAUGACCUCUCUUGGGCCUUGUGCACUAGUUGGGGUAUUUUAUAGGUUGAGGAGCCUCCCUUGGGUCCCCAAUCUUCCCUAAUCCAUUAGGGCUCACUAUUCAAUGCAUAAAAUAAAACCAAUUGUUGUGUAGUUGCAUAAAGUUGCGUAGGUUCAUGUUGAUUUAUAAAUCUGGAUAGUGAUCUGGUGGUGUGUAGGAAGAGGCCUAGCACCUUCAAAAUGAUCAUUCUCCUCCAACUAUCCAACUUUAAGGUUGCGUAAAUUGCAUAAAGUUGUGUAAGUUGCAAGUUGAGAAAUCAAGGGAUUCCACCAACACUCAUUUAAAUUUAUUUGAAUCGCUUGCCAAUACUUCUUUUAGUUUGUUGAUAUUGAGCUCGCACAUGAGGUAGUUUAUAUAUAUGAGGAUUUAGGAUCAUUGUUUCAAGCUUGAAUUUGAUGUGUAAAUAUUUAUGAAGGUAUUGGAUCCCUUCAUGACUCCUUAGUACUGUUGACGAGUUGAAGAAGUUUUGAAAUCACCAAGCAACCAUGUAGGAAACUCAAUGUUGCAUAGAAUAAGAGUUUAAUGUUUUUUUUGAGUAAUGGAGAAUUCACAUUGUAGAAUAUCCUUCAAUAUUUUUGUUGUUAUCUCUAUGAACCAUUUUGUCAAGAAAACAUCUAAGUCGUUGACUUGAAGGACUUGUUGAUUUCCCAAUCCAUCAUUUUUUCUCAUG